RNAcentral lists this ribosomal RNA (505 nucleotides) under uncultured bacterium. RNAcentral's name for it is "partial 16S ribosomal RNA". It matches the Rfam family "Bacterial small subunit ribosomal RNA", at positions 28 to 507 of the family's 1533-position model. The record is from RNAcentral.
GACGAACGCUGGCGGCGUGCCUAAUACAUGCAAGUAGAACGCACAGUUUAUACCGUAGCUUGCUACACCAUAGACUGUGAGUUGCGAACGGGUGAGUAACGCGUAGGUAACCUGCCUGGUAGCGGGGGAUAACUAUUGGAAACGAUAGCUAAUACCGCAUAAUAUUAAUUAUUGCAUGAUAAUUAAUUGAAAGGUGCAAUUGCACCACUACCAGAUGGACCUGCGUUGUAUUAGCUAGUAGGUGAGGUAACGGAUCACCUAGGCGACGAUACAUAGCCGAACUGGGAGGGUGAUCGGCCCACCUGGGACUGGGACACGGCCCAGACUCCUACGGGAGGCAGCAGUAGGGAAUCUUCGGCAAUGGACGAAAGUCUGACCGGGCAACGCCGCGUGAGUGAAGAAGGUUUUCGGAUCGUAAAGCUCUGUUGUAAGGGAAGAACGGGUGUGAGAGUGGAAAGUUCACACUGUGACGGUAUCUAACCAGAAAGGGACGGCUAACUACGUG